GUUGAUCUGAAACCUUCUGCCUGCAUCUUUAGUUCUCCUUGAAAUAGUUAUCAGGGCUGGGUUAAGAAUUUUUCAGCUGGAUUUUUUUUUUUUAUGCCAAAAAGCAGAAAUCAAGCUUGUUAGGGACUUGCACUUUUUAUUUCUGUCAAAUGGUACAGAAAGUUUUCCCCUCUAACAAUUCCAUUUCCACGAGUCAUAGCAUUUUGUUAUGAUAUUUUUAAGUGCAUGUUUCUUUCUUUUUUUUUUUUUCUUGGUGUUCUGAACAACCCAAUGCUUCAAAUUUUCUUUUUUAAUGUAUACAUUAUUGUCACUGUUGUGCAGAAGUAAUAAUUCAGGACAACUGCUUUCAAAUCGUUCUCAGAAGCAGCCAUUGUAGAACACUUAUUUUCUUCAGCAAUUCGCCACCACAUGAUUCUCUCUCCCUCUCUCUCUUUUUUUUUUUUUUUUUAGUUUCAAAGGGAAGUGACAUGCUCAUCUCUAAGAAGAAAAAAGGAACCAAAACUCUUCUUAUAGCAGCUGGACUGAGGUUGCACGAACCAUCAACAUCAUAGCAGUUAAAGGAAAGAAGAGGAUAGAGUGAAACAGUUUCUAGUUUUGUAGGCGUCUGAACUGAAAGGUCUUUGAUGUAUGCUGCUGAGAAUUGCAGGAUCCCGUGAAAUAGGCCUUAAAACAACAAAUCAGUCUUCAGUUGCUGCUCGUUUCACAAAACAGUUAAACAUUUCAGGGAAUACCUUCCAGACUCCAGGAAGAAGGACAGAAGAGAUGAAGUGCAUGAGAUCUGAACUUGGAAGAUGACUGAGGAUUUGCACCUGCUGGGGAUGGAGAGUAAGAUAUAGUGGCAAAGCUCUGUGAAUGCUGAAGGAAAAUAACUGCAGUCUAAAUACAUGAGGGUAGAAGGACUCACAGUGGUAAGAAAACAGUAACUAUAUGGCUUAGACCACAAAUGGUAGUGAUGCUAUACUAUUGUGGAAAUGGUGUGGAAAGUUCACUUUGAUGGAUUAAUG
RNAcentral lists this long non-coding RNA (1004 nucleotides) under Phasianus colchicus (ring-necked pheasant). RNAcentral's name for it is "lncRNA (ENSPCLG00000001117.1)". Lineage: Eukaryota; Metazoa; Chordata; Aves; Galliformes; Phasianidae. The record is from RNAcentral.